AAGAGGAGGAGGAAGAAGAUGGGGAUGACUUGCUGGCCAUGAUGAACUUUAUUUCCGUGGUCCGGGAGUUUGAGUGGCGCCCGAUGUCAACGAGCCGAGUCGGGUGAUGGAAUCACCAGGAGUCUCAACCGCGAGCUGAUGAAGAUUCGAUGGCGCUGCUGAGAAUGUUACCGAAAGUUAUUUACUCGAUGGACGCUCCUGCUGCUGCUGCUGUCCCUGCUACCGAUGACGACGACACGACGCUGAUGAUUAACGGAGGCCCGAUUCGAGUUAUCACACCGAUCAAGACGGGGGGCGCGACUCUGACAAUCUGCACGAUUUUGCCCGAGGAGAGAAAGAGAGAGAGACGAGGAGGCGGAGGGAGAAGACGGGGGUAGAUUUCGACUGAGACCACUACAAAGACAAAGAUCCCCCGUUUAGCCUUAACGGACUUUUUGGGGCAAGUGCUGCUAGCGAGACCACUACACACACAUGCAUACACAAGGCUCGCACACACACACACGCGCACUCUCACUUACUCUCGCACUCUCACUCAGACACCGCUGGGAGCCAAUUGCGCAGCUCAAUUGUAAACUCGCCGAUGAUCGGUGGGGCUGUCCUAAGCAAAUUAUACCCCCCCCCCCACUCCCAAAAACAACACACACAGCCAGGAUUCUU
Lethenteron reissneri (Far Eastern brook lamprey) is the source of this 657-nucleotide long non-coding RNA. RefSeq lists it as uncharacterized. The record is from RefSeq and is a predicted model, not a curated record. NCBI's taxonomy places the organism in Eukaryota, Metazoa, Chordata, Hyperoartia, Petromyzontiformes, Petromyzontidae.